Molecule: ribosomal RNA, 497 nt
Filed under: uncultured bacterium
Lineage: Bacteria
Description: partial 16S ribosomal RNA
Rfam family: Bacterial small subunit ribosomal RNA
Source: RNAcentral
GAUGAACGCUGGCGGCGUGCCUAAUACAUGCAAGUCGAGCGAACGGACGAGAAGCUUGCUUCUCUGAUGUUAGCGGCGGACGGGUGAGUAACACGUGGAUAACCUACCUAUAAGACUGGGAUAACUUCGGGAAACCGGAGCUAAUACCGGAUAAUAUUUUGAACCGCAUGGUUCAAAAGUGAAAGACGGUCUUGCUGUCACUUAUAGAUGGAUCCGCGCUGCAUUAGCUAGUUGGUAAGGUAACGGCUUACCAAGGCAACGAUGCAUAGCCGACCUGAGAGGGUGAUCGGCCACACUGGAACUGAGACACGGUCCAGACUCCUACGGGAGGCAGAAGUAGGGAAUCUUCCGCAAUGGGCGAAAGCCUGACGGAGCAACGCCGCGUGAGUGAUGAAGGUCUUCGGAUCGUAAAACUCUGUUAUUAGGGAAGAACAUAUGUGGAAGUAACUGUGCACAUCUUGACGGUACCUAAUCAGAAAGCCACGGCUAACUACGUG